GGGAGAAGCGACUGGCGUGGCGGCGGCGUCGCACCGGAGGAGAUUUUGAAAGAAGACAGAUACACAGUGGAAUUACUUUUGCAAACCACAGGAAGAAAUGUGAUUUAUUUCUUAAAACGAAGAGAAAGAACCAACCUGCAAAAAGACUGAUUAUAGCUAAAACUAGCUAAGAAUUCCUGUUUUUUUUCAAUAUAAAGCUGCCAUAGUAUUUAAAUAUUAUCUUCCAAAGAGUCAUUUGCACUAAUAUUAAAGAAGAAGAAAAGGUGAAAUGCUAUAAAGAUUGUCCAUAAGUAUUUGUAUGGCUUAUCAUCAUAAUAUUACAUGAUCUACUCAUCAGAACAAAGUUUUUCACAUUUUAUUUUAUCUUUAUUUUUUAAAAUAAAAAGAGUAGAUGCGAUAUUGACUUAAUGCAAUCCGAAGACUUGGACUUCUGAACACAAUGCCGUAACUUAAAGGCAACUGUCAGGACUAGGUUUGCUUUGCUUGGAAUCCUUCAGUCUUAUUUUAUAAACACUGUUUCCUAAAUAAUGGCAUGGGUAAAGUUCUUGAGGAAACCUGGAGGAAACCUUGGAAAAGUAUAUCAACCUGGAAGUGUGAUGUCUUUGGCGCCUACCAAGGGCUUGCUAAA
This is a non-coding RNA of Podarcis muralis (Common wall lizard), 628 nucleotides long. Lineage: Eukaryota; Metazoa; Chordata; Lepidosauria; Squamata; Lacertidae. The record is from RefSeq and is a predicted model, not a curated record.